UGGGGCUGCUUGGCGAAAGUAAAUGUGUCGAUCCCCAAAAAGCGUAUGCUUGGACCAAAGACUGUGGACUGUGUUAAUUUGGGCUAUGCUAUGAAUAGUGUUGGCUAUAGAUUUCUAGUAGUGAAAUCUGAGGUACAUGACAUGAAGGUUGGUACAAUUAUGGAGUCUAAGGAUGCUACGUUCUUUGAGGACAUUUUCCCCAUGAGAGAUGUACAAAGCACUUCUAGACAGGAAUCUGAGGAGACUCCUGAACCUGCCAUUCCGAUGGAAUAUUAUAAAGAAACACAUGAUGAAAAUCCUGAGGAGAAUAAUGAGGAAACCCUUGGUAGGGGCAAGAGACAAAGGACUGUAAAGCCCUUUGGUGAUGAUUUCUUCAUAUACCUCAUGGAGGAUAGUCCCACUUCUAUUUCAGAAGCGUAUGUAUCUCCAGAAGCUGACUGCUGGAAGGAUGCGGUCCGUAGCGAGAUGGAUUCCAUCAUGGCUAACGGGACUUGGGAGCUUACUGAACGUCCCUAUGGUUGUAAACCAUUGGGAUGCAAGUGGGUGUUCAAUAAGAAGCAUAGGCCCGAUGGUAUGAUAGAAAAGUACAAGGCUAGGCUUGUGGCCAAGGGCUACGCCCAGAAAGAAGAAGAAGAUUUCUUCAACACUUAUUCACCUGUGGCCAGACUGACUAUCAUUCAAGUAUUACUCUCGUUGGCGGCCUCGCAUGGUCUUCUCAUUCAUCAGAUGGAUGUUACGACGGCUUUCCUGAACGGAGAGCUAAAGGAGGAAAUCUAUAUGCAGCAGCCUUUUGGCUUUGUGAUAGAUGGUCAGGAAGGAAAGGUGUGUAAGUUGGUGAAAUCUUUAUAUGGUCUGAGACAAGCGCCUAAGAAAUGGCAUGACAAGUUUAAUGAAACGUUGACAUCUGUUGGCUUUGUUAUAAAUGAGGCCGACAAAUGUGUAUACUAUCGCUAUGGUGGGGGCGAAGGAGUUAUAAUGUGUUUGUAUGUUGAUGAUGUACUGAUAUUUGGAACUAAUCUCAAGUUGAUCGAGGAGGUUAAGUCUUUCCUAUCUCAGAACUUUGAGAUGAAGGACCUUGGUGUGGCUGAUGUUAUCUUGAACAUCAAGCUAUUGAGAGAUGAUGAGGGUGGGAUUACACUUCUGCAAUCCCAUUAUGUUGAGAAGGUGUUGAGUCGCUUUGGAUAUUCGGACUACAAACAAUCUCAAACACCAUAUGAUCCUACUAUGUUGGUCCGAAAGUUUGAAGGCACAGCUAAGGAUCAACUGAGAUACUCUCAAAUCAUUGGUUCACUCAUGUACCUAGCAAGUGCAACGAGGCCUGACAUCGCGUUUGCUGUGAGCAAAUUGAGCCGGUUUGUUUCCAAUCCGGGUGAUGUAUAUUGGCAUGCUAUUGAGAGAGUUAUGCGCUAUCUGAAAGGUACUAUGAACUAUGGACUUCACUAUACCGGAUACCUGUCGGUACUUGAAGGGUAUAGUGAUGCGAAUUGGAUCUCUGAUGCUGAUGAGAUGAAGGCCACAACAGGGUAUAUGUUUACUCUUGGAGGUGGUGCUGUU
This 1554-nucleotide ribosomal RNA is filed under the name Triticum aestivum (bread wheat). RNAcentral's name for it is "partial small subunit ribosomal RNA". The record is from RNAcentral. Lineage: Eukaryota; Viridiplantae; Streptophyta; Magnoliopsida; Poales; Poaceae.